UUCAUGAUGAUAUGAUACCAAACAAACACAGACCUGUUCCGAACGCAAAAAAAAAAGCUUGUGGACAAAACGUUUUGCAUC
RNAcentral lists this small nucleolar RNA (81 nucleotides) under Tuber melanosporum Mel28. RNAcentral describes it as "small nucleolar RNA snR56". The record is from RNAcentral. Lineage: Eukaryota; Fungi; Ascomycota; Pezizomycetes; Pezizales; Tuberaceae.